Molecule: long non-coding RNA, 1958 nt
Organism: Acinonyx jubatus (cheetah)
Lineage: Eukaryota; Metazoa; Chordata; Mammalia; Carnivora; Felidae
Exons: 2
Source: RefSeq, a predicted model, not a curated record
UCAACUUCUAAAAUGAUAAGUAUGUCAAGGGGUGGUGGGGAGAAGAGGCACUUCUCGGAAAAAUUGGGACCUCCACAAAGAGAAGUGUUCGAUAGAAAACAGUCCUGGGUUUGGAAUUUGUCAGCAUGUGGCUGGUUCCCAGCUGGUUCUCAGCCAAUAGAAAUAGCUUUCCAGAGCCCUAGGGGAUUAAGCCAACUAUGAAGAUAAAAAUGGAUAGAGUCAAGAGGGGGAGGGUGUCAGGUUACGGCUUGGGAAACUGACAAAACCAGGUGUCAGCUCACCCAGCGUGCAUUUCCGGUUUCCGGUGUGCCCUCCUAGACUGCAGAGUUGAACAGGUGAAAACCUCAUUCCCCGGAAUCCCAGGAAGUAGGACUCUAGACAUCACUUAGGAUCCACCUUCUGAGGGAAAUGGCGGAGGUUAAAUUUGGAUACAGUCAAGUGGGCAGAAAGGCAGAGGCUGAGACACCUAUUUCAACUGGUGUGCCAUGAGCAGAGGUGCAUUGAGCCAUCACUGGAUAUGAACAUUACAAUGAGGCCACCAAGAAGCAACAGUUACUAUUAUUGUAACCUGGGGGAGAGCAGCAUCCAAGAAAUCUUACAAAAGACUUGUGGCCAUUUUCCUAUGUAUCAAGAAAAUGUGAAAGCCAUCUCCUCAGGACCAAAUUUACACUGAUCGAUGAAGUGCUUCGCCAAUUUAGACAGUAAGAGGUUGUUUAAUUAUAGCAGGGUAGCGGUGCAUAUUACACCAAACAUUUGUUUUACAUCUGAAAGCCCUGGAAAUGGAAAUUAAUAGAUUCAUGCAGGAAUGAACUUACUUGUGGGGGCCCAGUGAUUCCGAGUAGACCAGCAAUUACUCAUUUUUCUUUGAAUUCAUUUCUGUGAUGGAAACACAAAAAAGUGAUUUCAAGAAGGAAAAUCGUUGCAUGGAAAUCUGGCAAGUUUUCACAAGGACUGAAUUGCUCUUUUGUUUCCUGCCCAGCAAUAUGAGAUUGUCAGCUGAAACUGGGUCUCUGCUGUGUUAGCAGAGGCAGAGAAGGCUCUGUGUCCAACAGUGGCCCUGCCCUGGGACCAGCCUCCCAGGAGUUUCCAGAGCAUCCAGAGAACGGAAAGCAGGUCCUUGGGAGAACAGGGCACUGCCAGCAUUCGGAUAACGAGCAAGCAUUCCAGAGGAAAGACAGCUGGCAGAUGUGGUCCACCACGAAUUGGGAUCAAACUUUAAUGUCAUUGUCAUGAAGAUAAAAAAGCAAAAAGGAAUAAUGAAGUCAACCAAAUGAGGUCAGGACUUUACUUUUUUAACCCAAAUCAACUGACUUUGCAUGUGCAGACCCUGUAGGAGCUUGAUUUUCUGGCCCCCAUUUAGCCCCAUGCCUGGUACAGUGUAGCUGUUCUGUUUAACAAAGAAUGUUAAGUGAUGAUGAAACCAGGAAGACUGAGCUAAGAGUAAGGAAAUACUUAGGAUAGCAAGACCAACCUAUGGAUGACUUUUUUUUUUUUUCUUUUAAAUGAGCCAGGUGUGGGAAGCUAAUGAUAGAAGCUAGAAGCUUGGCUGUGGCCUGAAUUAGGUACCUGGGAGGAACCUCAGAGUUGCAGGGGUGGGAAGCGGGACUGGGAUGGAACAUAAUAGCAGCCAAUGUUAACAAUAGGGAUUGAAGUAAAUGAGUUUCUUGGCCCCCUUCCAGCCGUCCCGCAACCCCAGCCUGCUGGCGGCUUACUAUAACCAGGCCACAGGCAGGCUGUAUGGUCCACCGCCCCCAUGCUCUGGGCAGGUUGGAGCCUGGAUAUGAAACAACAGAAAUGAUGAUUAUUGAGUAAGCUCCUUAAUCCAACACUAUGUAAAUCUUAAAGCUGUCUGUUGGAAAUUGAUUAUAUUUUUCCACGGAAGUGAAUGAAUUAGGCAUUGAUAUAAAGCUCUCUCACUUACUCCCAGUACACAAAUUACAUAUAUUUUUUGAAAUCUC